UACGUAGGGUGCAAGCGUUAUCCGGAAUUAUUGGGGGGAAAGAGCUCGUAGGCGGUUUGUCGCGUCUGCUGUGAAAACUGGAGGCUCAACCUCCAGCCUGCAGUGGGUACGGGCAAACUAGAGUGCGGUAGGGGAGAUUGGAAUUCCUGGUGUAGCGGUGGAAUGCGCAGAUAUCAGGAGGAACACCGAUGGCGAAGGCAGAUCUCUGGGCCGUAACUGACGCUGAGGAGCGAAAGCAUGGGGAGCGAACAGG
This 253-nucleotide ribosomal RNA is filed under the name uncultured bacterium. RNAcentral's name for it is "partial 16S ribosomal RNA". It matches the Rfam family "Bacterial small subunit ribosomal RNA", at positions 524 to 776 of the family's 1533-position model. The record is from RNAcentral.